AAUAUAAGAGAAUUAUGAUUUUCAACAUUUUCAUAUAAAUAUAGGUUUUUAUUUAAAAAAAUCUACUUCUAAAACAGAUUUUUAUAAUUUUUGUUUUUUUGUUUUUUAAAGAAGGGGUACAACUAGGUACCCAGAUUUCUGGCUUACUAAAACUCGAAUUAAGCCGAGUUUCGGCCCAGGGUUAUAACCAGGUAUACCCGAGCCGGGUUCUGACCCAGAUUUGAAACCCGGGUUCUGGGCCGGGUAUACCCAGAUACCCAGUCCAGUACCCGGUUGAACACCCCUACCGAGCAUAUCAUUUAGAUCUAGGAAUAAAAAGUUAAGGUUAUUUUACUUUGGUUAGAUUUUAAUUUGCCGUAUUUGCAAUAUUUGUUCAACUUCAAUUUAGGCUCUAUCUGAUGUAUUUACAUCUCAUUUGGACCUAGUUUUGUAACAAGAAUGUUCCAACAUUUUUUUUUCACAUUAGCAAAACUUAUUGCAUAUCACUUUUGUUUGGAUUUUUUUAAAACUACAUGUCUAGAAAUUAGGAUUCGGGUGCUGCAAGUGUGAGGACUAUGCCAAAAUGAGGGAAUGAAUCCCCUCACGUGGGCAAAAUGUUGGCGACAAGGAGGUAGCCGAGCGGCAAUGUGCAUAUGAAGUGGCAGCAAGGAGAGUAGCAUGUUGUAAAGAGCCUGGCAACUGUGGGACAACAUAGGGUAACGAAAGAAGACAAGCACCGGGCAGGGACAAGCUUGGUGCAAAGCUGGGAGCACUCCAGGACAAUUUAGACAAGCUCAAAGGGUAGCAGGUUGGUGCUAUCAUAUUGCUAGUGAAUAUAUGAUCAUGUUCUCUUGGGUCGCUAUCAACAUUGUAAUUUAUGGAUGCCGAAGUUGUAAAUUUGAAACAUAAUGAGAAAGCCAUUUGAGGAA
This is a long non-coding RNA of Carya illinoinensis, 908 nucleotides long. RefSeq lists it as uncharacterized. The record is from RefSeq and is a predicted model, not a curated record. Lineage: Eukaryota; Viridiplantae; Streptophyta; Magnoliopsida; Fagales; Juglandaceae. The transcript has 2 exons.